Molecule: ribosomal RNA, 440 nt
Filed under: uncultured bacterium
Lineage: Bacteria
Description: partial 16S ribosomal RNA
Rfam family: Bacterial small subunit ribosomal RNA
Source: RNAcentral
CCUACGGGAGGCAGCAGUAGGGAAUAUUGCUCAAUGGGGGAAACCCUGAAGCAGCAACGCCGCGUGGAGGAUGAAGGUCUUCGGAUUGUAAACUCCUUUUGUUAGAGAAGAGAAUUACGGUACCUAACCAAUUUUCACCGGCCAACUCCGUGCCAGCCGCCGCGGCAACACGGAGGGUGCAAGCGUUAUUCGGAAUCACUGGGCGUAAAGGGCGCGUAGGCGGGUUAGCAAGUCAGAUGUGAAAUCCUAUGGCUUAACCGUAGAACUGCAUUUGAAACUGUUAUUCUAGAGUAUGGGAGAGGUAGGUGGAAUUCUUGGUGUAGAGGUGAAAUCCGUAGAGAUCAAGAGGAAUACUCAUUGCGAAGGCGGCCUGCUAGAACGUAACUGACGCUGAUGCGCGAAAGCGUGGGGAGCAAACAGGAUUAGAUACCCUAGUAGUC